ACGUAGGGGGCAAGCGUUGUUCGGAAUUACUGGGCGUAAAGGGCAUGUAGGCGGUUUAGUAAGCUUGGCGUGAAAGACCACAGCUCAACUGUGGGGUUGCGUUGAGAACUGCUGAACUUGAGUUACGGAGAGGGAGCUAGAAUUCCUGGUGUAGGGGUGGAAUCUGUAGAGAUCAGGAAGAAUACCGAUGGCGAAGGCAAGCUUCUGGCCGAUAACUGACGCUGAGGUGCGAAAGUGUGGGGAUCAAACAG
This 251-nucleotide ribosomal RNA is filed under the name uncultured prokaryote. Its description in RNAcentral is "partial 16S rRNA". It matches the Rfam family "Bacterial small subunit ribosomal RNA", at positions 525 to 775 of the family's 1533-position model. The record is from RNAcentral.